CUUUUGGGGAGGACGACCACAGAGCUCAGGAAUUUAGGGAUACACAUCACCACCAAAUAAUAGAAUAUAUGCCAAUUUUCCUUUUUGGCUUUGCCUUUCUGCCUGAGUGGCUCACAGUACACAACUGUAGCAAAAUCAG
Orcinus orca (killer whale) is the source of this 139-nucleotide long non-coding RNA. RefSeq lists it as uncharacterized. NCBI's taxonomy places the organism in Eukaryota, Metazoa, Chordata, Mammalia, Artiodactyla, Delphinidae. The transcript has 3 exons. The record is from RefSeq and is a predicted model, not a curated record.